GAUGAACGCUGGCGGCGUGCCUAAUACAUGCAAGUCGAGCGAACAGACGAGGAUCUUGCUCCUCUGACGUUAGCGGCGGACGGGUGAGUAACACGUGGAUAACCUACCUAUAGGACUGGGAUAACUUCGGGAAACCGGAGCUAAUACCGGAUAAUAUAUUAAACCGCAUGGUUCAAUAGUGACAGGCGGUUUUGCUGUCAACUAUAGAUGGAUCCGCGCCGCAUUAGAUAGUUGGUAAGGUAACGGCUUACCAAGGCAACGAUGGGUAGCCGCCCUGAGCGGGUGAACGGCCACACGAGAACUGAGACACGGUCCAGACACUGACGGGAGGCAGCGGUAGGGAAUCCUCCGGGAGGGGGGAAAGCCUGACGGAGCAACGCGGCGUGAGGGAUGAAGGUCUUCGGAUCGGAAAACUCUGUUAUUAGGGAAGAACAAAUGUGUAAGUAACUAUGCACGUCUUGACGGUACCUAAUCAGAAAGCAACGGCUAACUACGUG
This 497-nucleotide ribosomal RNA is filed under the name uncultured bacterium. RNAcentral describes it as "partial 16S ribosomal RNA". It matches the Rfam family "Bacterial small subunit ribosomal RNA", at positions 28 to 507 of the family's 1533-position model. The record is from RNAcentral.